Molecule: ribosomal RNA, 284 nt
Filed under: Verrucaria submersella
Lineage: Eukaryota; Fungi; Ascomycota; Eurotiomycetes; Verrucariales; Verrucariaceae
Description: partial small subunit ribosomal RNA
Source: RNAcentral
AAGUCGUAACAAGGUUUCCGCCGAGAUCCUUCGAAGCCUUUCACACACCGACUAUGGAAAAAGAAUUGUGUGCAGUCUCUCCUACCGAGGGCUACGUCACUGAAGUGCUGGAAUACAGAUCCUGUAAAUCAGCAGCCAAGCAUGGGUCAUGCCAUGGUUGGUUCACAGAUUAGCUAGUGAUGGUCAACCAGAUCAGUAUCGCUGUUGAUCAAGAUAUAAUCGGUCCUAUAGUCACAUCUAUAGCUGAACAACGUUCCGUAGGUGAACCUGCGGAAGGAUCAUUA